This 1249-nucleotide ribosomal RNA is filed under the name Glyphocassis sp. N62. Its description in RNAcentral is "12S ribosomal RNA". The stretch from base 847 to 1210 matches the Rfam family "Archaeal large subunit ribosomal RNA", at positions 2148 to 2718 of the family's 2987-position model. Lineage: Eukaryota; Metazoa; Arthropoda; Insecta; Coleoptera; Chrysomelidae. The record is from RNAcentral.
UUGAAUUAAUUUAUUUAUUAAUUUUAAUGUUGUUUCUUUUUUAUUGAAUAAAAUUAUAUUUUUUUUAUUAUCAUUUAGAAAAAUUUUUAUUAAUAAUAGUUUAUUAGUACUGUAAAGGAAUUAUUUUUAAUGUUAAAAAGAAGAAUUUAUUUUUCGUACCUUGUGUAUCAGGGUUUAUUAAAAUUUUUUUUGGAUAUAUAAUUCUCGAAUUUAAAAUAGCUAAAUUAGUAUCAAUUUUAUUGUUUCAUAAAUAUUUUUAAUACUAUUCUGGGGGUGAAAUGCUAUUCGUUUUUAAAUAUAUCUGGUUUUUAAAGAAACAAAUUAAAUUUGAUUUAUUUUAAUAUAAAGAAUUAUUUUUUUCUUCUGUUAUUAUAAUUUUAUAUUUUUGGGGAUUAGCUUGAACUUAAAUUUCUAUUAAUUUUAUUUUAUUUAGAAAAAUAGGAUUAGAAUUUUUCAUUUUUAAAAGUAUUUUAUAAUUUUUCUAGUUUAUAUUGUUAUUUAUUUUUUUUAUAGGUUUUUUAUUUAAAUUUUAAAAUAAAUUUUUAUUUUUAAGUAAUAAUGAUUGAAUUAGUAAAUUUAUUUGUAUAAUAUCCAAAAAAAAUUAUAUUGGUUUUAGGAAUUCGGCAAUAAGUUUUUUACCUGUUUAAUAAAAACAUGUCUUCUUGAUUAUAAUUUGAAGUCUGACCUGCUCUAUGAUUUUUAAAUGGCCGCAGUAUUUUGACUGUGCUAAGGUAGCAUAAUAAUUAGUUUCUUAAUUAGAAGCUUGUAUGAAUGGUUUGAUAAAAAAACUUCUAUCUUAAAUUAAUUUUAUUUGAAUUUUAUCUUUAAGUAAAAAAGCUUAAAUUUUUUUAGGGGACGAGAAGACCCUAUAGAAUUUAAUAAUUUUUUAUUUUAAAUUUUUUUAGAAUUUAUUUUUUAAUUUGAAGUAUUAUUUAGUUGGGGUGACUGAAAAAUUUAAUGAACUUUUUUUUAUUAAAACUUUUUAAUUGAAUUAUUGAUCCGAUUUAUCGAUUUCAAGAAAAAAUUACCUUAGGGAUAACAGCGUUAUAAUUUUUUAGAGUUCUUAUCGAAAAAAUUGAUUGCGACCUCGAUGUUGGAUUAGAAUUUCUAUUUGGUGCAGAAGCUAAAAUAGAGGGUCUGUUCGACCUUUAAAUUUCUACAUGAUCUGAGUUUAAACCGGCGUGAGCCAGGUUGGUUUCUAUCUUUAAAAUUUUUAUAUGUUUUAGUACGAAAGGAUUUUACAUUUAGU